AUUCCAUGCAUCAGACAUUUCCGAAAUAAUUCUUUAACUCGUUCCCAAGCUUCAUAUAGCAUUUCAUCCUCCAAUUGCCGAAAAAAUGUGACGUCAUUUCUAAGCUU
RNAcentral lists this small nucleolar RNA (107 nucleotides) under Gossypium hirsutum (cotton). Its description in RNAcentral is "Plant small nucleolar RNA R71". It matches the Rfam family "Plant small nucleolar RNA R71". From Rfam's summary of the family: R71 is a member of the C/D box family of snoRNAs containing the C (UGAUGA) and D (CUGA) box motifs. Lineage: Eukaryota; Viridiplantae; Streptophyta; Magnoliopsida; Malvales; Malvaceae. The record is from Rfam by way of RNAcentral.